Molecule: non-coding RNA, 334 nt
Filed under: Staphylococcus aureus
Lineage: Bacteria; Bacillati; Bacillota; Bacilli; Caryophanales; Staphylococcaceae
Rfam family: S. aureus tsr24 small RNA
Source: RNAcentral
AAAUUUUUCUAUGACUAUAGAUUUUUUUUCGUUUCUGGUUCAGAAAGCUUUUGAUUAAUUUGGGCUUUAAUGUAUUUCAAAGUAAAAUUACAUGUUAAUACGUAGUAUUAAUGGCGAGACUCCUGAGGGAGCAGUGCCAGUCGAAGACAGGGGCCCCAACACAGAAGCUGACAUAUAGUCAGCUUACAACAAUGUGCCGGUUGGGGUGGCUGAGACGGCACCCUAGGAAGGGACCCGUCAUCAAAAAUUCUAUUUAUAGAAUUUUACAGUAAUGUGCCAGACGGGCAAAGCGAAGCCAUUCAAUACGAAGUAUUGUAUAAAUAGAGAACAGCAG